This 588-nucleotide ribosomal RNA is filed under the name uncultured bacterium. RNAcentral's name for it is "bacterial SSU rRNA". It matches the Rfam family "Bacterial small subunit ribosomal RNA", at positions 337 to 917 of the family's 1533-position model. The record is from RNAcentral.
UCCUACGGGAGGCAGCAGUGGGGAAUAUUGCACAAUGGGGGAAACCCUGAUGCAGCCAUGCCGCGUGUGUGAAGAAGGCCUUCGGGUUGUAAAGCACUUUCAGUAGGGAGGAAGGUAGUGUAGUUAACACCUGCAUUAUUUGACGUUACCUACAGAAGAAGCACCGGCUAACUCCGUGCCAGCAGCCGCGGUAAUACGGAGGGUGCGAGCGUUAAUCGGAAUUACUGGGCGUAAAGCGCAUGCAGGCGGCCUAUUAAGUCAGAUGUGAAAGCCCGGGGCUUAACCUCGGAAUUGCAUUUGAAACUGGCAGGCUAGAGUCUUGUAGAGGGGGGUAGAAUUUCAGGUGUAGCGGUGAAAUGCGUAGAGAUCUGAAGGAAUACCAGUGGCGAAGGCGGCCCCCUGGACAAAGACUGACGCUCAGAUGCGAAAGCGUGGGGAGCAAACAGGAUUAGAUACCCUGGUAGUCCACGCCGUAAACGAUGUCUACUUGGAGGUUGUGGCCUUGAGCCGUGGCUUUCGGAGCUAACGCGUUAAGUAGACCGCCUGGGGAGUACGGUCGCAAGAUUAAAACUCAAAUGAAUUGACGGA